CGUCCAAUUCAUCAUCACCUGAACCAAAAGGCCUUGGAGGUCGAGGAGGAUUUGCACCUUUGUGUGCUAAUGGAGGUGGCCGAGGAGGAGCAUUAAUACCACUUUUGGGAGGUGGCGGUGGGCGAGGGCCUGCCUUGCCUGGUAUAGGUGGUGGAGGAGGAGGAGGUCCUGGAGGGCGAACUGAGUUUCCUGGUGGUCUUGGUGGUGGUGGUGCAGGAGGUGGUGGAGGAGGAGGACUAGCCAUGGUGGAUGGGGGCUUAAAAGACGAAGGACGUUCAGGAGGCAGGGGAACAGCCCUGCCAGGAGGAGGCUUCAGAGGAGGUAAAAUUUCUGAGGUGACUGGCAAUGCUCCUGGAGGAGGUGGCAC
This 367-nucleotide long non-coding RNA is filed under the name Cucumis sativus (cucumber). Its description in RNAcentral is "long non-coding RNA (CSAT_LNC001083)". Lineage: Eukaryota; Viridiplantae; Streptophyta; Magnoliopsida; Cucurbitales; Cucurbitaceae. The record is from RNAcentral.